This 128-nucleotide ribosomal RNA is filed under the name uncultured eukaryote. Its description in RNAcentral is "partial small subunit ribosomal RNA". It matches the Rfam family "Eukaryotic small subunit ribosomal RNA", at positions 1651 to 1782 of the family's 1831-position model. The record is from RNAcentral.
CCCUGCCAUUUGUACACACCGCCCGUCGCCUCAAUCGACUGGAUGAUCCGGUGAACAACUCGGACUGUCAACAAAUUGGAAACAAUUUGUAUUCGGAAAGUUUUGUAAACCAAAUCAUCUGAAGAAUG